CCUACGGGGGGCAGCAGUGGGGAAUAUUGCGCAAUGGGCGAAAGCCUGACGCAGCGACGCCGCGUGAGGGAUGAAGGUCUUCGGAUCGUAAACCUCUGUCAGCAGGGAAGAACGGUCACUGUGCUAAUCAGCAGUGAAUUGACGGUACCUGCAAAGGAAGCACCGGCUAACUCCGUGCCAGCAGCCGCGGUAAUACGGAGGGUGCGAGCGUUAAUCGGAAUUACUGGGCGUAAAGCGCUCGUAGGCGGUAUGUCAAGUCAAGGGUGAAAUCCCCGGGCACAACGUGGGAACUGCCUUUGAAACUGGCAAACUGGAGUGGGUGAGAGGAUAGUGGAAUUCCAGGUGUAGGAGUGAAAUGCGUAGAUAUCUGGAGGAACAUCAGUGGCGAAGGCGACUAUCUGGCACAUAACUGACGCUGAGGAGCGAAAGCGUGGGUAGCAAACAGGAUUAGAUACCCCAGUAGUC
This 465-nucleotide ribosomal RNA is filed under the name uncultured bacterium. Its description in RNAcentral is "partial 16S ribosomal RNA". It matches the Rfam family "Bacterial small subunit ribosomal RNA", at positions 338 to 795 of the family's 1533-position model. The record is from RNAcentral.